Molecule: small nucleolar RNA, 62 nt
Organism: Otolemur garnettii (small-eared galago)
Lineage: Eukaryota; Metazoa; Chordata; Mammalia; Primates; Galagidae
Source: Ensembl
AACAGGUGAUGAACUCAUUGAUGGGUGGACAGAGGCUGUGCUGAUUGUCAUGUUCUGAUGUG